UGUUUGAAGAAAAAUAAAAUUCUAGAUAAUUUCUGCUCACUGAGUAAUUAAAUAUGACUCCACUAUAUUAACUGUGCUCAGGUAGCAUAAUAAAUUGCUUUAUAAUUAAAAGCGCUGAGAGAAGGAAAAUUAGUGUGAAACAAGUUUUUUAACCUAAAAGAUAGUGAUUAUUAAUUUUUAAGUGAAAAAUCUUAAAAAGAAAACAAACGACAAGACGACCCUUUAGAACUUUUUUACAGACAAACUUAAUCUCAAACGGUUUUUUUGUUGUUGGGGGGACAUUUUUAAACAAAUAACUCAUUUUAUAACCCAAAAAAAUUAUUGUGAUAAAAUUAAAUCACCCAAUGUGAGAAAAAAGAACAAGUUACCUAAGGGAUAACAGCGCAAAAUUUUGAGAAGUAUCUUAUUUACAAAAUGUAUUGCGACCUCGAUGUUGGAUUAGGAACAAUGCAAAAAGAAAAGUGAUUGAAAUUGAGUCGGUUCGAC
This 486-nucleotide ribosomal RNA is filed under the name Bemisia tabaci. RNAcentral's name for it is "partial large subunit ribosomal RNA". Lineage: Eukaryota; Metazoa; Arthropoda; Insecta; Hemiptera; Aleyrodidae. The record is from RNAcentral.